GAUGAACGCUGGCGGCGUGCCUAAUACAUGCAAGUCGAGCGAACGGACGAGAAGCUUGCUUCUCUGAUGUUAGCGGCGGACGGGUGAGUAACACGUGGAUAACCUACCUAUAAGACUGGGAUAACUUCGGGAAACCGGAGCUAAUACCGGAUAAUAUUUUGAACCGCAUGGUUCAAAAGUGAAAGACGGUCUUGCUGUCACUUAUAGAUGGAUCCGCGCUGCAUUAGCUAGUUGGUAAGGUAACGGCUUACCAAGGCAACGAUGCAUAGCCGACCUGAGAGGGUGAUCGGCAACACUGGAACUGAGACACGGUCCAGACUCCUACGGGAGGCAGCAGUAGGGAAUCUUCCGCAAAGGGCGAAAGCCUGACGGAGCAACGCCGCGUGAGUGAUGAAGGUCUUCGGAUCGUAAAACUCUGUUAUUAGGGAAGAACAUAUGUGUAAGUAACUGUGCACAUCUUGACGGUACCUAAUCAGAAAGCCACGGCUAACUACGUG
This 497-nucleotide ribosomal RNA is filed under the name uncultured bacterium. RNAcentral's name for it is "partial 16S ribosomal RNA". It matches the Rfam family "Bacterial small subunit ribosomal RNA", at positions 28 to 507 of the family's 1533-position model. The record is from RNAcentral.